Molecule: ribosomal RNA, 474 nt
Filed under: uncultured Dysgonomonas sp.
Lineage: Bacteria; Pseudomonadati; Bacteroidota; Bacteroidia; Bacteroidales; Dysgonomonadaceae
Description: bacterial SSU rRNA
Rfam family: Bacterial small subunit ribosomal RNA
Source: RNAcentral
ACGGGUUGUAAACUUCUUUUGUACAGGAAUAAAAGACAUUACGUGUAGUGUAUUGCAUGUACUGUACGAAUAAGCAUCGGCUAACUCCGUGCCAGCAGCCGCGGUAAUACGGAGGAUGCGAGCGUUAUCCGGAUUUAUUGGGUUUAAAGGGUGCGCAGGCGGGAUUUUAAGUCAGCGGUGAAAUUUUCAGGCUCAACCUGAACACUGCCGUUGAAACUGGGAUUCUUGAGUAUGGAUGAAGUAGGCGGAAUUCGUUGUGUAGCGGUGACAUGCUUAGAUAUAACGAGGAACUCCGAUUGCGUAGGCAGCUUACUAAGCCAUAACUGACGCUCAAGCACGAAAGCGUGGGGAUCAAACAGGAUUAGAUACCCUGGUAGUCCACGCCGUAAACGAUGAUUACUAGUUGUUUGCGAUAUACCGUAAGUGACUAAGCGAAAGCGAUAAGUAAUCCACCUGGGGAGUACGCCGGCAACG